This 866-nucleotide small RNA is filed under the name Vigna angularis var. angularis. Its description in RNAcentral is "Non-protein coding transcript". Lineage: Eukaryota; Viridiplantae; Streptophyta; Magnoliopsida; Fabales; Fabaceae. The record is from RNAcentral.
AAGAUAAAGACAGCGUAGUGUGUGGUGGGGUUGGUGUGAGUAAUAAUAAAACCCGUCUCCCUCUGUUAAGCAUCAACGUUCCAAAACUCUUAUUCCUAUCAUGUUCUCCCUACAGACAUCAAUAUAUAUAUUUACAUGUGGUUAACCUAACCUAACCCAACAACCUGCGUUUCAUAUUGCAGAGAGAGAGAAAGGGAAAGGGAGAAGAGGUUGAGGAAGUGAUCGGAGAUGGGUGGGUUGGUAAAGCAUAAGAGAAUCAAUAUUUCUCACUGUUUUUGCCGAUUCCACCCAUUCCUAUGAUUUCCUCUGCUUUCUCUCUUUCCACUCUCCUCUUACCUUCUCUUACAUAUCUAUGUUCGUUAUCAAUGAGGCGGGGUGAAGUUGUUGUGCAUUCUCUCCUUCAUCUGUCAUUGCUAGUGUUGUAGUGCGUCACUAGUGCUUAGGGUUGGAAAGGUGUGUGGUGUUGUGGAUGACGCUCCUUUUGCGCGUUGAAGCUUUCGUUAUGUGGUUGGUCGCGCUCCUUCAUUGUGCUCAAGCUAUCUUGUUGCUCGUGGUGUUUUGGGUUUUGUUGCCGUGGCAAGUAAGUUUUGAUCAAUACUUGUUUUACUAUUGAGACAUACAUUCAGAAAAUCAUAUCUACUAUUGACUCAUGAAAUUUGAUAAUUUCAACAUUUUAUAACGAACAUUUAAGUAUUAUUAAUAUAAGUUAACUCAAAUUGUUCGUAGAUUUUCUAACUCGACUCUAAUGAAACAAAAUGUUUUAAACCAAGUUUGAGAAUUGGUAUAAAAAGUAUACAUUCUAUAUUGAUUGAAGUUUUAAUCGACAUAGAAAACGUCCUUUUUAUAUCGAUAAAACCUUAACCAGG